ACCAAAACUAGCCCAACCAACUACCAACUCAAUUACUACAAUUAAUCUUCAAUCAAAACAUUUAGUACUACGAUUAUAGUAUAGGAGAUAGAAAUUCUACUUGGAGCUAUAGAGGAAGUACCGUAAGGGAAUGAUGAAAGAAAAUUUAAAGUAAUAAACAGCAAAGAUUACCCCUUGUACCUUUUGCAUAAUGAAUUAGCUAGAAUAAUUUAGCAAAGAGACCUUAAGCUAACCUUCCCGAAACCAGACGAGCUACCUAUAAACAAUCCACAGGGAUAAACUCAUCUAUGUCGCAAAAUAGUGAGAAGAUUUAUAGGUAGAGGUGAAAAGCCUAACGAGCCUGGUGAUAGCUGGUUACCCAGAAUAGAAUUUCAGUUCAACUUUAAACUUGCCUAACAACUUUAAAAUUAUAAUGUAAGUUUAAAAUAUAAUCUAAAAAGGUACAGCUUUUUAGAACAAGGCUACAACCUUAGUUAGAGAGUAAAACAUAAUAUAACCAUAGUAGGCCUAAGAGCAGCCACCAAUUAAGAAAGCGUUCAAGCUCAACAAUAUUAUCCUCCCAAAAAUCCCAAAAAUCUUAAUCAACUCCUAAUAUAUCACUGGGUUAAUCUAUUUUAUAAUAGAGGCAAUAAUGCUAACAUGAGUAACAAGAAAUAUUUCUCCUUGCAUAAGCUUAUAACAGUCAACGAAUACCCACUGAUAGUUAACAACACGACAAAAAUAAAUCACCAAUAAAACACUUGUCAAACCAAUUGUUAGCCCAACACAGGUAUGCAUCAAGGAAAGAUCAAAAGAAGUAAAAGGAACUCGGCAAACACAAACCCCCGCCUGUUUACCAAAAACAUCACCUCCAGCAUAUCUAGUAUUGGAGGCACUGCCUGCCCAGUGACAUUAGUUAAACGGCCGCGGUAUCCUGACCGUGCAAAGGUAGCAUAAUCAUUUGUCCUUUAAAUAAGGACUUGUAUGAAUGGCCCCACGAGGGUUUAACUGUCUCUUACUUCCAAUCAGUGAAAUUGACCUUCCCGUGAAGAGGCGGGAAUAAAAUAAUAAGACGAGAAGACCCUAUGGAGCUUCAAUUAAUUAGCCCAUAAUCACUCACUUAAAUACCAAUAGGCUUAAUACCACUUUAUUAAUGGGUUAACAAUUUAGGUUGGGGUGACCUCGGAGAACAAAAAAACCUCCGAGUGAUUUAAGCACAGACAAACCAGUCAAAGUACUCUAUCAUUUAUUGAUCCAAUAACUUGAUCAACGGAACAAGUUACCCUAGGGAUAACAGCGCAAUCCUAUUUGAGAGUUCAUAUCAACAAUAGGGUUUACGACCUCGAUGUUGGAUCAGGACAUCCUAAUGGUGCAGCAGCUAUUAAAGGUUCGUUUGUUCAACGAUUAAAGUCCUACGUGAUCUGAGUUCAGACCGGAGUAAUCCAGGUCGGUUUCUAUCUAUUACAACAUAAUAACCUCUCCCAGUACGAAAGGACAAGAGAAGUAAGGCCCCUUCUAUUAAAACGCCUUAGGACUAAUAGAUGAUAUAAUCUAAAUCUAGCCGGUCCACUUAUUUAAUAGCCCUAGAAAUAGGGCUU
Molecule: ribosomal RNA, 1577 nt
Filed under: Meles meles (Eurasian badger)
Lineage: Eukaryota; Metazoa; Chordata; Mammalia; Carnivora; Mustelidae
Description: 16S ribosomal RNA
Rfam family: Bacterial large subunit ribosomal RNA
Source: RNAcentral